This 1109-nucleotide long non-coding RNA is filed under the name Sparus aurata (gilthead seabream). Its description in RNAcentral is "lncRNA (ENSSAUG00010009762.1)". The record is from RNAcentral. Lineage: Eukaryota; Metazoa; Chordata; Actinopteri; Spariformes; Sparidae.
UGAAUCCUUGGUCAAAGUCUCGCGAUACGAUUUGAAUUUUCCGAGCUAGGACGAGAACAGUGAACAACAGAGCAAGCUCUGUACAAGCUGUUGUCGUUCGAAACUGAACGGAUAGGUGGGACCGAAGACAGAGGAAAAUAAGUGCUAGUAGCAGUGGGGAAGUAAUUAACGGCACUGCACCGGGACCACUGAUUAAUUAACCUGAAAUCGUUUGUGGAGAGCUCUGCGUUGCCUUUCGUCUCUGUUACUGUCUGCGGAACAAGUGUCACUGGCAACAGACGAGAGAUGUCGUCCUGAAUCCACUGCCCCCCUUCCAUAUGUGCAGGAGAUACUAAGGCCAGCCCUGCACACCACAUCAGAGUUUCCUGUUUUUAGUCCCGGCUCAAAGCAAGGAGAGUGGAACAGGGAGGAGACCACCAUCUCUCGCUGCUGGUGUGUUGAGAGAGAGAGAGAGGGAGAGAAGGGGGAAGGUUGUGGGGAGAAAGCAGCAUGUGUUUGAGAAAAGUGUGGUGCUGGUAGUGUCAGUGGUUUGGUUGCAGCUGUAAAGCUGCUGUGCUGAGUGCUGCUUUUGAUCUUUCAGUAUAGUGGUGCAGAUUGACAGAAUGCGGAGGGUCUGGUUUACUGCAGUAAGUGCUUACAAAGUAUGCACAUGCCACAUGUACACUAUGUGUGUGUGUGUGAGAGAGAGAGCAUGUUAUAGGCCCCUUUAGCUUUGUGUGUGUGUGUGUGUGUGUGUCCAGACAGCAGGGUUCACUGCCAAGGUGUAACCAAAGACUCUGAUAAACAUACACAUUGAGGGAUGGACUCCCACCGAACAAGCUGGACCUCAGUAGCAACCCUCUCCUAAGAUCACAGACAUUCUUUCUCCACAUCCCUGAUCACCACUCCCAGAAACACAAAGCACAUCGAUCACACAGAAUACAGUCAGUGCUGACACAAACUGUACUACAUACCUUUGGCUUAUUGUUGCUAUGAUGAUGAUCAUUCCGAGGCUAGCAUCAAGUUAUUUACUCAGUGUCAGUUCUGUUCUUUGGUCCAAGUUUAGGUUAAUUACGUGCUCAUUUGUUAUUUUAAGAUGGUAAUUUUAAAUCUGCAUUUGUAUUUCUGUA